This 63-nucleotide transfer RNA is filed under the name Loxosceles similis. RNAcentral describes it as "tRNA-Gln". Lineage: Eukaryota; Metazoa; Arthropoda; Arachnida; Araneae; Sicariidae. The record is from RNAcentral.
UAAGAAUAAAGUCAUCCAUAGAAAUUUGAUUUCUAAAAAGAUAGCAAUAUCUAUUUAUCUUAA